AACGAACGCUGGCGGCAUGCCUAACACAUGCAAGUCGAACGAGACCUUCGGGUCUAGUGGCGCACGGGUGCGUAACGCGUGGGAACCUGCCCUUAGGUUCGGAAUACCUCCCCGACAGGGGUGCUAAUACCGGAUAAUGUCUUCUGACCAAAGAUUUAUCGCCUUUGGAUGGGCCCGCGUUGGAUUAGCUAGUUGGUAGGGUAAAAGCCUACCAAGGCGACGAUCCAUAGCUGGUCUGAGAGGAUGAUCAGCCACACUGGGACUGAGACACGGCCCAGACUACUACGGGAGGCAGGAGAGGGGAAUAUUGGAAAAUGGGCGAAAGGAUGAAGCAGCAAUGCCGCGUGAGUGAUGAAGGCCUUAGGGUAGUAAAGCUCUUUUAACCGGGAUGAUAAUGACAGUACCGGGAGAAUAAGCACCGGCUAACUCCGUG
RNAcentral lists this ribosomal RNA (433 nucleotides) under uncultured bacterium. Its description in RNAcentral is "partial 16S ribosomal RNA". It matches the Rfam family "Bacterial small subunit ribosomal RNA", at positions 29 to 507 of the family's 1533-position model. The record is from RNAcentral.